UUUCCAGAUUUUCAACACAUGAUGGCUGGUGGUACGAGGGAUGCCCACAAUGCUACAAACAAUUGACGGUGAAGAAAAAUAGUGACCUGCAAGUCUGUCUAGACCACAGCGUGCAAAUACCUCUUCCAUGUUAUAGAGUCCAUGCCACCAUUGAAGAUCCAAACAGUGAAGCCACAAUCAAGCUUAGAGGAAAACCAGCUGAACAAUUGUUUGGAAUAACUUGCAGAGACCUCAUAGACAGGUACCCUUAUGCUCCACAGGAAACAUUACCCCAGGAAAUAUUGCAAACAAAAGGGCAAAUUCACAUUUUCCAAAUCCAAAUCAAUGAGGCAAAUGGCUUCAUAGUGAAAGGUAUCUUUCCAAGCACAAAGAAUCAACCAAGUGCCAGCACACCAGCUCAUCCAAUGUAUGACAAAAAAAGAUCUGUCGAUAAAGGAAGAAGACAACUAUUUGCUACCACUCCAGACA
Molecule: long non-coding RNA, 468 nt
Filed under: Rosa chinensis
Lineage: Eukaryota; Viridiplantae; Streptophyta; Magnoliopsida; Rosales; Rosaceae
Description: sRNA RchiOBHm_Chr6g0308611
Source: RNAcentral